UCAUUCUCUGUCUCUCUCUCUUUCUCCCCUGUGCCAGUGAAGGGCCUCUCCCCUCGUGGACAGCUGUCUGCUCUUCCUCUUGCUCCUCCUCCUCCUCGCCCAGCCGAGCUCCCCUCUCUCUCCCUCAGACAGUCCCUUCAGAGAAGUCUGCUUCCCAGGGCCCUGCAGCAGAGACAGAUGCCUGAAGAGGAGAUUGAGCAGAAUGGGCAGAGCCGCGGCCAGGCUGUCCCGAAGCCCGUGUGUGUGAACGGCACAGAGGCGGGGCAGUUAAACAGCAAAUCAAAACAGGAGCGGCGGACGAGCUCCACCUCCUCCAACCCCUCCCGCAAGGGGGUGUCCACCACCAGCAAGAUCCGCAAGCUAUCCACCUGCAAGCAGCAGUGAGGCACUGGAGACUGACGCACUGUACCGGCUUUUUUUUUUUUUUUUUUUUUUAAACUUGGGGGAUUAUUAG
Molecule: long non-coding RNA, 454 nt
Organism: Polyodon spathula (Mississippi paddlefish)
Lineage: Eukaryota; Metazoa; Chordata; Actinopteri; Acipenseriformes; Polyodontidae
Exons: 3
Source: RefSeq, a predicted model, not a curated record